Molecule: ribosomal RNA, 485 nt
Filed under: uncultured bacterium
Lineage: Bacteria
Description: bacterial SSU rRNA
Rfam family: Bacterial small subunit ribosomal RNA
Source: RNAcentral
CGCUGGCGGCGUGCCUAACACAUGCAAGUCGAGCGGAGUUAACAAGAGGAAGUUUCGGAUGGAAUUUGUUAAUUAGCGGCGGACGGGUGAGUAACGCGUGAGCGACCAACCUUGCACAGGGGGAUAACGGACCGAAAGGUUCACUAAUACCGCAUGAGACCACGGUGUUGCAUGACACAGAGGUCAAAGGAGCAAUCCGGUGCAAGACGGGCUCGCGUCCGAUUAGGUAGUUGGUGGGGUAACGGCCCACCAAGCCUAUGAUCGGUAGCCGACCUGAGAGGGUGAUCGGCCACAUUGGAACUGAGAUACGGUCCAAACUCCUACGGGAGGCAGCAGUGGGGAAUAUUGGGCCAAUGGGGGAAACCCUGACCCAGCAACGCCGCGUGAAGGAAGAAGGUUUUCGGAUUGUAAACUUCUGUCCUUGGUGAAGAGAAGAAGACGGUAGCCAAGGAGGAAGCCCCGGCUAACUACGUGCCAGCCGCCGC